This is a small nucleolar RNA of Hevea brasiliensis (rubber tree), 107 nucleotides long. The record is from RefSeq and is a predicted model, not a curated record. NCBI's taxonomy places the organism in Eukaryota, Viridiplantae, Streptophyta, Magnoliopsida, Malpighiales, Euphorbiaceae.
AUGCCAUGGUGUGGACAUUCCCUUUGAAGGUCUUUGUACCUCUCCCUUGCAUCAUAGAGUGAUUCUCCUUCUCUUUGCCUAUAAGUACACAUUGCUAUUCUCAGUUU